ACGCUGGCGGCAGGCCUAACACAUGCAAGUCGAGCGGAUGAAAGGAGCUUGCUCCUGGAUUCAGCGGCGGACGGGUGAGUAAUGCCUAGGAAUCUGCCUGGUAGUGGGGGACAACGUUUCGAAAGGAACGCUAAUACCGCAUACGUCCUACGGGAGAAAGCAGGGGACCUUCGGGCCUUGCGCUAUCAGAUGAGCCUAGGUCGGAUUAGCUAGUUGGUGAGGUAAUGGCUCACCAAGGCGACGAUCCGUAACUGGUCUGAGAGGAUGAUCAGUCACACUGGAACUGAGACACGGUCCAGACUCCUACGGGAGGCAGCAGUGGGGAAUAUUGGACAAUGGGCGAAAGCCUGAUCCAGCCAUGCCGCGUGUGUGAAGAAGGUCUUCGGAUUGUAAAGCACUUUAAGUUGGGAGGAAGGGUUGUAGAUUAAUACUCUGCAAUUUUGACGUUACCGACAGAAUAAGCACCGGCUAACUCUGUGCCAGCAGCCGCGGUAAUACAGAGGGUGCAAGCGUUAAUCGGAAUUACUGGGCGUAAAGCGCGCGUAGGUGGUUCGUUAAGUUGGAUGUGAAAUCCCCGGGCUCAACCUGGGAACUGCAUCCAAAACUGGCGAGCUAGAGUAUGGUAGAGGGUGGUGGAAUUUCCUGUGUAGCGGUGAAAUGCGUAGAUAUAGGAAGGAACACCAGUGGCGAAGGCGACCACCUGGACUGAUACUGACACUGAGGUGCGAAAGCGUGGGGAGCAAAC
RNAcentral lists this ribosomal RNA (745 nucleotides) under uncultured bacterium. RNAcentral's name for it is "bacterial SSU rRNA". It matches the Rfam family "Bacterial small subunit ribosomal RNA", at positions 33 to 773 of the family's 1533-position model. The record is from RNAcentral.